Molecule: unclassified non-coding RNA, 273 nt
Filed under: Hevea brasiliensis (rubber tree)
Lineage: Eukaryota; Viridiplantae; Streptophyta; Magnoliopsida; Malpighiales; Euphorbiaceae
Source: RNAcentral
GGAACAGAAAAAAGCCCAACUUGUAAUCAUUGCACAUGAUGUGGAUCCUAUUGAGAUGGUGUUGUUCCUUCCAGCAUUGUGUAGAAAAAUGGGAGUACCCUACUGCAUAGUGAAAGGCAAAGCAAGGCUGGGACUCCUUGUAAGACGGAAGACAUGCACUUCUAUCGCUCUUACACAAGUAGACUCUGGUGACAGGUCGAACUUCAAUAAGAUUGUGGAGGUAGUAAAGACAAACUUCAAUGAUCGUGCGGAUGAAAUCAGAAAACAUUGGGG